Molecule: ribosomal RNA, 468 nt
Filed under: uncultured bacterium
Lineage: Bacteria
Description: partial 16S ribosomal RNA
Rfam family: Bacterial small subunit ribosomal RNA
Source: RNAcentral
GACGAACGCUGGCGGCGUGCUUAACACAUGCAAGUCGAACGGAAAGGCCCUGCUUUUGUGGGGUGCUCGAGUGGCGAACGGGUGAGUAACACGUGAGUAACCUGCCCUUGACUUUGGGAUAACUUCAGGAAACAGGGGCUAAUACCGGAUAGGAGCUCCUGCUGCAUGGUGGGGGUGGGAUAGUUUCGGCGGUUGGGGGUGGACUCGCGGCUUAUCAGCUUGUUGGUGGGGUAGUGGCUUACCAAGGCUUGGACGGGUAGCCGGCCUGAGAGGGUGACAGGCCACAUUAGGAUUGAGAUACGGCCCAGACGCGUACGGGAGGCAGCGGUGGGGAGUAGUACACAAGGGGCGGAAGCCUGAUGCAGCAACGCCGCGUGGGGGAUGACGGGCUUGGGGUAGUGAACCGAUUUCGCCUGAGACGAAGCGUGAGUGACGGUAAUGGGUAAAUAAGCACCGGCUAACUACGUG